Molecule: non-coding RNA, 93 nt
Filed under: Cupriavidus oxalaticus
Lineage: Bacteria; Pseudomonadati; Pseudomonadota; Betaproteobacteria; Burkholderiales; Burkholderiaceae
Source: RNAcentral
UUCCACGGCGGGCCGGGCGGGGCAGCCGCAUGGCUGGCCGGUUUUCCCUCGGUUCACCGGUUUGUCACCCCCGCUGCCAGGCCCGCCACCUCC